This 494-nucleotide ribosomal RNA is filed under the name uncultured bacterium. RNAcentral's name for it is "partial 16S ribosomal RNA". It matches the Rfam family "Bacterial small subunit ribosomal RNA", at positions 28 to 507 of the family's 1533-position model. The record is from RNAcentral.
GACGAACGCUGGCGGCGUGCUUAACACAUGCAAGUCGAACGGUGAAGCGCCUUCCUUUUUGGUGGGUGUGGAUGAGUGGCGAACGGGUGAGUAACACGUGAGUAACCUGCCCCCUUCUUCUGGAUAACCGCAUGAAAGUGUGGCUAAUACGGGAUAUUCUGGGUCUGUCGCAUGAUGGGUCUGGGAAAGAUAUUGUUUCGGUGGGGGAUGGGCUCGCGGCCUAUCAGCUUGUUGGUGGGGUGAUGGCCUACCAAGGCGGUGACGGGUGGCCGGCCUGAGAGGGUGGACGGUCACACUGGGACUGAGACACGGCCCAGACUCCUACGGGAGGCAGCAGUGGGGAAUAUUGCACAAUGGGCGCAAGCCUGAUGCAGCGACGCCGCGUGAGGGAUGGAGGCCUUCGGGUUGUGAACCUCUUUCGCCAGUGAAGCAGGCCUGCCUCGUUUGUGGGUGGGUUGACGGUAGCUGGAUAAGAAGCGCCGGCUAACUACGUG